GACGAACGCUGGCGGCGUGCUUAACACAUGCAAGUCGAACGGUGAACGAGGGAGCUUGCUCCCUCCGGAUCAGUGGCGAACGGGUGAGUAACACGUGAGCAAUCUGCCCCGAACUCUGGGAUAAGCGUUGGAAACGACGUCUAAUACCGGAUACGACGCGGGAGGGCAUCCUCUCCGCGUGGAAAGAACUUCGGUUCGGGAUGAGCUCGCGGCCUAUCAGCUUGUUGGUGAGGUAACGGCUCACCAAGGCGACGACGGGUAGCCGGCCUGAGAGGGUGACCGGCCACACUGGGACUGAGACACGGCCCAGACUCCUACGGGAGGCAGCAGUGGGGAAUAUUGCACAAUGGGCGCAAGCCUGAUGCAGCAACGCCGCGUGAGGGACGACGGCCUUCGGGUUGUAAACCUCUUUUAGCAGGGAAGAAGCGAAAGUGACAGUACCUGCAGAAAAAGCACCGGCUAACUACGUG
Molecule: ribosomal RNA, 470 nt
Filed under: uncultured bacterium
Lineage: Bacteria
Description: partial 16S ribosomal RNA
Rfam family: Bacterial small subunit ribosomal RNA
Source: RNAcentral